Long non-coding RNA from Sorghum bicolor (sorghum), 1821 nucleotides. RefSeq lists it as uncharacterized. The record is from RefSeq and is a predicted model, not a curated record. NCBI's taxonomy places the organism in Eukaryota, Viridiplantae, Streptophyta, Magnoliopsida, Poales, Poaceae. The transcript is spliced from 5 exons.
ACAUGGAAGCGCCGCCGCCAGGCCGCGAGCGCCGCCGCCAGGACACCCCGUCACGCGAGCGCUGCAGCCAGGAGGCCCUGUCCCGCUAGCGCCGCCGCCAGGAUGCCCCGUCCCGCGAGCGCUGCAGCCAGGUGCGCGCUGCCAGGAACCCCUAGCCGUAGCCAGGUGCGCGCUGCCAGGGGCUCGCGGCCGGGACACGCCGAGGCGCGCGGCUAGGGGCUCGCGGCCGGGGCUCGCCGGGGCGUGCGGCCAGAGGCUCACCAGUGCGUGCAGCCAGAGGCUCCCGGUUGGGGCGCGCGGCUAGAGGCUCACCGGGGCGCGCGGCCAUGGGCUCGCGGCUGGGGCUCGCCGGGGCACGCGGCCAGAGGCUCGCCGUCAAGUUCGCUUCGAGUACUACUCUCUACGAGGCCGCGUCAAAGGCGUCGCAGGGCGGGGACGCCGUAAGGCCGGUGAGGCCGUGCGGCCGGGGGCGCGGGCUGCUACCCGCAAGGCGAGGACGCGCAGGCCAGUGGCAGCAUAGGACACGGCGGUGGAGGGCCUGGCCCUGGCGUCGGAUUAGAUCCUGGCCAACACGAGGGCCAAGCAGAUGGCAGUGCUAGCCGCUGAGCUUGGGCAGCUCAGGGAGAAGAUAUCCACGUUAGAAACCAAAUAAUUAUGUUUUAUGGAAAUUCUUAGAUGGAUUGUGCAGAAUUAUGGAAAGGAAAAGAAAGAACAACAGGAGGAUGGCAGAUCAAAGCAAGCAUCCAGUGAGAAAGCACAAUUUAGUAUUUGCUGGGAACAAGCAGUACCUGUCAUUUUCAUCUUCUCUGGGAUGUGAACAAAUUUGCAACUCAUAGUGGUUAAAAAAUUUAAGCAAGUUGCAGGUAAUUUUCAGCAGCUGUGAUCCCCUUAAUUUUUAGAUGAGUUAACUUGUUAAUUUCUUUUGAAGUAUCUCUGAGUGAGAGUGCAAUUACUGUGCACUAAAUGAUGCUACCUGGAUGCCAAUUAAUAUGAUGACUUAAAUUUUCAUUCUCAAGUGUGGCUUUACUUUUUUCAUUUAAGAGUGACUUAAAUUUGGCAUGACUAUGUUUUCUCAAUCUGGUUGUGGUUCACUCGCAACCAUGAUUCUUCUUGAACUUGAUAUGUAUAUGAACAGGUAUGUUAAUCUAAACAAUUCAUAUUGAGUUGUUACUUCACUGUGCUUAGGAGUUAGUUGGAACUGAACACAGUAUUAUGUGAUUUAAUGGUUUAGUUGGUAGCUAUCUACUUCUAGAAUUGGUGUGAGAUGGAAGAUGAAGAAGCUAGAGAAGUGAUGGAACCUCUGCCACUAGCGAGUUUCAGGCAAAGAACACACAAGAUUUUGGCCAAACAAUGAGCAAGUACCAAAUAUAUAAGCAAUGCAGCCUUUUGGAGCAAGUACCAAACAUACAAGCUUGGAGCCUAUUGGAGAUAAAAUUUGCUAAAAGCCUAAAAUUGACUCCUUUUCAACAGGCAGAGCUGGGUAUUGUCAAAGCUGCAUACGAAAGCCUUAAAGAUAACUUGUAUUGGACUAAGGUGCUUUACUGCUUUGUUUGUCAUGUAAGCACAGAACUAUUUUAUUUACAAAGUACUGACAUGUAGAUUAUUCUAAUAUUCAUCAGUGUUCAAGACGUGAUCCUUUUGUAUCGGUCACUGAUUGAAGCUACAAUUUACAGGUUGAUUAAUUUUCUUUUUGAUUUAUUUUGGAUGGUUUGGUUUAUUCUUCAAAUUAGAGAUAAAAUUAUGUUUUGCUUAUUGUUUUUCUAUAACAGUAUUAUUGUAGACUCAUAUAUUUUAGUGUGACAAAAAUAUUUGGUUAUACAA